Molecule: ribosomal RNA, 389 nt
Filed under: uncultured fungus
Lineage: Eukaryota; Fungi
Description: SSU rRNA
Rfam family: Eukaryotic small subunit ribosomal RNA
Source: RNAcentral
UUAGCAUGGAAUAAUGGAAUAGGACGUGUGGUUCUAUUUUGUUGGUUUCUAGGACCGCCGUAAUGAUUAAUAGGGAUAGUCGGGGGCAUCAGUAUUCAAUUGUCAGAGGUGAAAUUCUUGGAUUUAUUGAAGACUAACUACUGCGAAAGCAUUUGCCAAGGAUGUUUUCAUUAAUCAGUGAACGAAAGUUAGGGGAUCGAAGACGAUCAGAUACCGUCGUAGUCUUAACCAUAAACUAUGCCGACUAGGGAUCGGGCGAUGUUAUCUUUUUGACUCGCUCGGCACCUUACGAGAAAUCAAAGUUUUUGGGUUCUGGGGGGAGUAUGGUCGCAAGGCUGAAACUUAAAGAAAUUGACGGAAGGGCACCACCAGGAGUAAACUCUUUUUCC